UUCUUUCAUGGGGAGGCAAAUUUGGGUACCACCCAAGUAUUGGCUAACCCAUCAAUAAUUAUCAUGUAUGUCGUGCAUUCCUGCCAGACACCAUGAAUAAUGCACA
Molecule: non-coding RNA, 106 nt
Organism: Gorilla gorilla (western gorilla)
Lineage: Eukaryota; Metazoa; Chordata; Mammalia; Primates; Hominidae
Source: Rfam